AUAUAAAUUGUAACUUUUAAUUUGGAAGUCGACGUCAUAGCUGCAUACCGUGGUUCGUCCACCUGACCCCUGCCUUCACCGCAGGGAUCCCUUGUGCUGUUUUGGCCUCCUGCCUGCUGUGCACACAUCCAGUGAUAUUCCUGGACCGCUGUCGGCUGCUGAACAUGGGCCUCAUAACCGACCUCAGCUGAUUGGUAUGUAAUUUUAACGGUCUUCAAAAUAAUAUGUAGCUUGCGUGGGUUUUAAUUGUAUCUUUUUCGUGUAGCAGAGCUUGCAGUAACACAAGGAGCGGCAACAUCAAGGCUACCUUGGUUCAAGUUCCGAACGCUGCUGUUUUGUCUGCACCUAAGUUGUGUUGGUCGAUUUUACAUAUUUUGUUUAUUGUAUGUUUGCAUAUCUUUUAACUUACACACGGGAGAAUAACUGUAUACCGGACGCUCUCGUCCAGCAUUAGGCCUCAGCUAUUGUAUAAAAUACGAUGCUCACCACACUAUAUGUGUGAGUGCAUACUGGGCAGUGUGUGUACUAGGAGUGUUGGCUCCUUUUGAUUUCCCUCUCUCGCUGAACAGGAGUUGCAGGCCAACAGGGGUGGCGGGCUAUCUCGUGGUGGUGGCGUCACUUCACUUUUCCUGCUGUGGUUCAUUUGCUAUCGACAUAUUCACGUGUGGUGUGUGUGUAGACCCUUCCUCUGAUAUACUCUCCAGUCCUGGGUAAGCUCCAGCCCUGUUCCUGGCUCCUCCAAUCCCUCCUCAGCCAGUAAUCUAAUAUGCACAUGCUGGUGUAUGUGUGUGUGACUGUGUGUGUAUACAUGUGUGUCCAGGCCUUAGGCCAUUUGUGUCAGUGCCUUAGUGGCAAGUUCUGACUGUCUGGAGAGAACUCACUCCCUGUAUGUUUUUAGUAUUUGUAAAUAAAAACAGAGUUUAUUUUUGGAAA
Molecule: long non-coding RNA, 933 nt
Organism: Alosa sapidissima (American shad)
Lineage: Eukaryota; Metazoa; Chordata; Actinopteri; Clupeiformes; Clupeidae
Exons: 2
Source: RefSeq, a predicted model, not a curated record